RNAcentral lists this ribosomal RNA (463 nucleotides) under uncultured bacterium. RNAcentral describes it as "bacterial SSU rRNA". It matches the Rfam family "Bacterial small subunit ribosomal RNA", at positions 339 to 794 of the family's 1533-position model. The record is from RNAcentral.
UUACGGGAGGCAGCAGUGGGGAAUUUUGGACAAUGGGGGAAACCCUGAUCCAGCCAUGCCGCGUGGGUGAAGAAGGCCUUCGGGUUGUAAAGCCCUUUCGGUGGGGACGAAACGGUGCGUGCUAACACCACGCACUACUGACGGUACCCACAGAAGAAGCACCGGCUAACUACGUGCCAGCAGCCGCGGUAAUACGUAGGGUGCAGGCGUUAAUCGGAAUUACUGGGCGUAAAGCGUGCGCAGGCGGUUUGCUAAGACAGGUGUGAAAUCCCCGAGCUUAACUUGGGAACUGCGCUUGUAACUGGCAAGCUAGAGUGUGGCAGAGGGGGGUGGAAUUCCACGUGUAGCAGUGAAAUGCGUAGAGAUGUGGAGGAACACCGAUGGCGAAGGCAGCCCCCUGGGCUAACACUGACGCUCAUGCACGAAAGCGUGGGGAGCAAACAGGAUUAGAUACCCCGGUAGG